AUGCCACCCACUGCCGGAAGACUAGCUCUGCUCACCUCCGUUUUAUAUGCCUGGACAAUAUUCCAAAUUUUGGCUAUUGAACCUCCUCGCUGGGCUGUCAAGAAGUUUGACAAAUGUUUCCUAGGUUUCCUUUGGGAAAAUAAAGAUGAGGCUACUGGGGGCAAAUGCCUAAUGAACUGGAAGCAAGUUUGCCUGCCUAAAAAGCUUGGUGGCCUUGGGAUUCCUUGUCUGGACCAAAAAAGUGAGGCAAUGCGAUGCAAAUGGUUAUGGAUCUCUUGGAUGGACGCUUCUCGGACCUGACGUGGGUUACCUUUGCCUAUUAAUUGCUCGGUCAGGUGUCCUUUCGAGGCAUCGGUUCAAUUCAACAUUGGCAAUGGCGCAAACACCAAGUUUUUUGGACCGACCCUUGGCACAAUAGAGAGAGUUUCUGUAAGAGGUUCCCUGACUUGUUCAUGCAAUGCACUAUCAAAACAAUCUCCAUCCAAUAUGGUAUGA
RNAcentral lists this ribosomal RNA (495 nucleotides) under Triticum aestivum (bread wheat). RNAcentral's name for it is "partial small subunit ribosomal RNA". The record is from RNAcentral. Lineage: Eukaryota; Viridiplantae; Streptophyta; Magnoliopsida; Poales; Poaceae.